CGGCGUGCUUAACACAUGCAAGUCGAACGAGAAAUUUUAGCUUGCUAGAGAAAGUAAAGUGGCGCACGGGUGAGUAACGCGUGGGUAAUCUGCCUCCGAAUCGGGGAUAACAUUGCGAAAGCGAUGCUAAUACCGGAUAAAAUCUGGUUGGCUUCGGUGAACCGGAUCAAAGGUGGUCUCUUUUAAAAAGCUACCGUUUGGAGAUGAGCUCGCGUACCAUUAGCUUGUUGGUGGGGUAAAGGCUCACCAAGGCGACGAUGGUUAGCUGGUCUGAGAGGAUGAUCAGCCACACCGGAACUGGAACACGGUCCGGACUCCUACGGGAGGCAGCAGUAAGGGAUAUUGCGACAAUGGGCGAAAGCCUGACGCAGCAACGCCGCGUGGAGGAUGAAGGCCUUCGGGUUGUAAACUCCUUUUCUGUGGGAAGAGGAAGGACGGUACCACAGGAAGAAGUCUCGGCUAACUACGUGCCAGCAGCCGCGGUAAAACGUAGGAGGCGAGCGUUAUCCGGAUUUACUGGGUGUAAAGCGCGUGCAGGCGGCUUGGUAAGUCGAGCGUGAAAGCUCCCGGCUCAACCGGGAGAGGACGUGCGAAACUGCGAGGCUAGAGACAGGUAGAGGCGUACGGAAUUCCGGGUGUAGUGGUGAAAUGCGUAGAUAUCCGGAGGAACACCAGUGGCGAAGGCGGUACGCUGGGCCUGGUCUGACGCUAAGACGCGAAAGCAUGGGGAGCGAACGGGAUUAGAAACCCCGGUAGUCCAUGCCGUAAACGAUGCUAACUAGGUGUUGCGGGUAAAAGACCGGCAGUGCCGGAGUUAACGCGAUAAGUUAGCCACCUGGGGACUACGGUCGCAAGGCUAAAACUCAAAGGAAUUGACGGGGGCCCGCACAAGCAGCGGAGCGUGUGGUUUAAUUCGAGGCUACACGAAGAACCUUACCUGGGCUUGACAUGACGGUGGUAGGGAACCGAAAGGGGACCGACCUUCGGGAGCCGUCACAGGUGCUGCAUGGCUGUCGUCAGCUCGUGUCGUGAGAUGUUCGGUUAAGUCCGGUAACGAGCGCAACCCUCAUCGCUAGUUACAAGUGUCUAGCGAGACUGCCCGUUCAACGCGGGAGGAAGGCGGGGAUGACGUCAAGUCAGCAUGGCCUUUAUGUCCAGGGCUACACACACGCUACAAUGGCCGGUACAAUGGGUCGCCAACCCGCGAGGGGGAGCCAAUCCACCAAAGCCGGUCACAGUUCGAAUUGCAGGCUGCAACCCGCCUGCAUGAAGUCGGAGUUGCUAGUAACCGCAGGUCAGCUAUACUGCGGUGAAUACGUUCCCGGGCCUUGUACACACCGCCCGUCACGUCAUGGGAGCUGGUCAUGCCUGAA
Molecule: ribosomal RNA, 1373 nt
Filed under: uncultured organism
Description: bacterial SSU rRNA
Rfam family: Bacterial small subunit ribosomal RNA
Source: RNAcentral